UGGGGAAUAUUGCACAAUGGGCGCAAGCCUGAUGCAGCGACGCCGCGUGAGGGAUGAAGGCCUUCGGGUUGUAAACCUCUUUCAGCAGGGAAGAAGCGCAAGUGACGGUACCUGCAGAAGAAGCGCCGGCUAACUACGUGCCAGCAGCCGCGGUAAUACGUAGGGCGCAAGCGUUGUCCGGAAUUACUGGGCGUAAAGAGCUCGUAGGCGGUUUGUCGCGUCUGCUGUGAAAACUCGAGGCUCAACCUCGGGCUUGCAGUGGGUACGGGCAGACUAGAGUGCGGUAGGGGAGACUGGAAUUCCUGGUGUAGCGGUGGAAUGCGCAGAUAUCAGGAGGAACACCGAUGGCGAAGGCAGGUCUCUGGGCCGCAACUGACGCUGAGGAGCGAAAGCAUGGGGAGCGAACAGGAUUAGAUACCCUGGUAGUCCAUGCCGUAAACGUUGGGCACUAGGUGUGGGGCUCAUUCCACGAGUUCCGUGCCGCAGCAAACGCAUUAAGUGCCCCGCCUGGGGAGUACGGCCGCAAGGCUAAAACUCAAAGAAAUUGACGGGGGCCCGCACAAGCGGCGGAGCAUGCGGAUUAAUUCGAUGCAACGCGAAGAACCUUACCAAGGCUCGACAUACACCGGAAACUUCCAGAGAUGGUUGCCCCGCAAGGUCGGUGUACAGGUGGUGCAUGGUUGUCGUCAGCUCGUGUCGUGAGAUGUUGGGUUAAGUCCCGCAACGGGCGCAACCCUCGUCCUAUGUUGCCAGCGGGUCAUGCCGGGGACUCAUAGGAGACUGCCGGGGUCAACUCGGAGGAAGG
This 805-nucleotide ribosomal RNA is filed under the name uncultured bacterium. RNAcentral describes it as "bacterial SSU rRNA". It matches the Rfam family "Bacterial small subunit ribosomal RNA", at positions 355 to 1173 of the family's 1533-position model. The record is from RNAcentral.